ACAAGUAUAAUUUAAUGGUAAAAUGUUAACCUUCCAAGUUAAUUAUGCGAGUUCAAUUCUCGUUACUUGUU
This 71-nucleotide transfer RNA is filed under the name Nephromyces sp. ex Molgula occidentalis. RNAcentral describes it as "tRNA-Gly". It matches the Rfam family "tRNA". From Rfam's summary of the family: Transfer RNA (tRNA) molecules are approximately 80 nucleotides in length. Their secondary structure includes four short double-helical elements and three loops (D, anti-codon, and T loops). Further hydrogen bonds mediate the characteristic L-shaped molecular structure. tRNAs have two regions of fundamental functional importance: the anti-codon, which is responsible for specific mRNA codon recognition, and the 3' end, to which the tRNAs corresponding amino acid is attached (by aminoacyl-tRNA synthetases). tRNAs cope with the degeneracy of the genetic code in two manners: having more than one tRNA (with a specific anti-codon) for a particular amino acid; and 'wobble' base-pairing, i.e. permitting non-standard base-pairing at the 3rd anti-codon position. The record is from RNAcentral. Lineage: Eukaryota; Apicomplexa; Aconoidasida; Nephromycida.